UGGAGGCUGAAACCCGCCUCCAUGAAGUUGGAUUCGCUAGUAAUCGCGCAUCAGCCAUGGCGCGGUGAAUACGUUCCCGGGCCUUGUACACACCGCCCGUCAAGCCAUGGGAGCCGGGGGGCGCCUGAAGUUCGUGACCGCAAGGAGCGACCUAGGGCAAAACUGGUGACUGGGGCUAAGUCGUAACAAGGUAUC
RNAcentral lists this ribosomal RNA (195 nucleotides) under uncultured bacterium. RNAcentral describes it as "partial 16S ribosomal RNA". It matches the Rfam family "Bacterial small subunit ribosomal RNA", at positions 1299 to 1500 of the family's 1533-position model. The record is from RNAcentral.